This 210-nucleotide ribosomal RNA is filed under the name uncultured bacterium. RNAcentral's name for it is "partial 16S ribosomal RNA". It matches the Rfam family "Bacterial small subunit ribosomal RNA", at positions 123 to 334 of the family's 1533-position model. The record is from RNAcentral.
AAUCUACCUGUAACAGAGGGAUAACCCGGAGAAAUCCGGACUAAUACCUCAUAGCACAUAUUAUUCGCAUGAAUUUUAUGUUAAAGAGACUCGGUUACAGAUGAACAUGCGUUCCAUUAGCUAGUUGGCGGGGUUACGGCCCACCAAGGCAACGAUGGAUAGGGGUUCUGAGAGGAAGGUCCCCCACACUGGUACUGAGACACGGACCAG